Molecule: ribosomal RNA, 467 nt
Filed under: uncultured bacterium
Lineage: Bacteria
Description: partial 16S ribosomal RNA
Rfam family: Bacterial small subunit ribosomal RNA
Source: RNAcentral
GACGAACGCUGGCGGCGUGCUUAACACAUGCAAGUCGAACGGAAAGGCCCUGCUUUUGUGGGGUGCUCGAGUGGCGAACGGGUGAGUAACACGUGAGUAACCUGCCCUUGACUUUGGGAUAACUUCAGGAAACUGGGGCUAAUACCGGAUAGGAGCUCCUGCUGCAUGGUGGGGGUUGGAAAGUUUCGGCGGUUGGGGAUGGACUCGCGGCUUAUCAGCUUGUUGGUGGGGUAGUGGCUUACCAAGGCUUUGACGGGUAGCCGGCCUGAGAGGGUGACCGGCGACAUUGGGACUGAGAUACGGCCCAGACUCCUACGGGAGGCAGCAGGGGGGAAUAUUGCACAAUGGGCGGAAGCCGGAUGCAGCAACGCCGCGUGCGGGAUGACGGCCUUCGGGUUGUAAACAGCUUUCGCCUGUGACGAAGCGUGAGUGACGGUAAUGGGUAAAGAAGCACCGGCUAACUACGU